AGUGCGUUACUUACCUCGACUCUUAGCUUGUCGGGGACGGUAACCGGGACCCGGUGUCUGCUCCUGUCGCCUUCGCCUCCUAAUCCCUAGCCACUAUGCGUGAGUGCAUCUCCAUCCACGUUGGCCAGGCUGGUGUCCAGAUUGGCAAUGCCUGCUGGGAGCUCUACUGCCUGGAACAUGGCAUCCAGCCCGAUGGCCAGAUGCCAAGUGACAAGACUAUUGGGGGAGGAGAUGACUCCUUCAACACCUUCUUCAGUGAGACGGGCGCUGGCAAGCACGUGCCCCGGGCUGUGUUUGUAGACUUGGAACCCACAGUCAUUGGUGAGUUGACCUCAGUAACCUGAGAUCCCAGGAUGCUGGGACAGGUCUGUCCAGGGGCUUCUCUUGUCACUCACUCACUCCCUCCGUCCUUUUCUCCCUCCUCCAGAUGAAGUUCGCACUGGCACCUACCGCCAGCUCUUCCACCCUGAGCAGCUCAUCACAGGCAAGGAAGAUGCUGCCAAUAACUAUGCCCGAGGGCACUACACCAUUGGCAAGGAGAUCAUUGACCUUGUGUUGGACCGAAUUCGCAAGCUGGUAAGCACCACAAGUAAAUAUGCAUUUAAUGUGGUGUGAUAGUUCCAGUGCAAGUUGGGUGGAGUGACUGACAUUCAUUCUUUGGCACCUACCAAAAUGUGGAAUAGGCUGCUUGCUAUAUUAAUUGGACUUCUAAAUCAGAUAGUCCCUAGGUUAUGGACAGUUUGUGGAUAUGUCUGUUUUGCCAAUUCCUUGUGCUUACAUCAAUGAGAUACGGUUCGUAAUCUAAAAAGUUUAAGUAGAAAUUCUAAGAUAAUG
This 834-nucleotide small RNA is filed under the name Pan troglodytes (chimpanzee). Its description in RNAcentral is "retained intron". Lineage: Eukaryota; Metazoa; Chordata; Mammalia; Primates; Hominidae. The record is from RNAcentral.